RNAcentral lists this ribosomal RNA (197 nucleotides) under uncultured eukaryote. RNAcentral's name for it is "partial 18S ribosomal RNA". The record is from RNAcentral.
AGCAUUUCUUCUUCAUUGAGCAAAACAUUAAUUUUUAGGUCAACAAAUCUUCGGAUUCUUGACAAUUUAUGUGAUAAAUCGCCCACCACCAUGAUGGAAUUUAUCUGAUAUACCUCAUUAUUUUUCCAGUUGUUUAAUUUUUUCUUCAGGCUUUCAUAAUUUGUCUGAUAGGAAUGACUUUGAGAUAUUGACUCAUU